GACGAACGCUGGCGGCGUGCUUAACACAUGCAAGUCGAACGGAAAGGCCAUGCUUUUGUGGGGUGCUCGAGUGGCGAACGGGUGAGUAACACGUGAGUAACCUGCCCUUGACUUUGGGAUAACUUCAGGAAACUGGGGCUAAUACCGGAUAGGAGCUCCUGCUGCAUGGUGGGGGUUGGAAAGUUUCGGCGGUUGGGGAUGGACUCGCGGCUUAUCAGCUUGUUGGUGGGGUAGUGGCUUACCAAGGCUUUGACGGGUAGCCGGCCUGAGAGGGUGACCGGCCACAGUGGGACUGAGAUACGGCACAGACUCCUACGGGAGGCAGCAGUGGGGAAUAGUGCACAAUGGGCGGAAGCCUGAUGCAGCAACGCCGCGUGCGGGAUGACGGCCUUCGGGUUGUAAACCGCUGUCGCCUGUGACGAAGCGUGAGUGACGGUAAUGGGUAAAGAAGCACCGGCUAACUACGUG
Molecule: ribosomal RNA, 468 nt
Filed under: uncultured bacterium
Lineage: Bacteria
Description: partial 16S ribosomal RNA
Rfam family: Bacterial small subunit ribosomal RNA
Source: RNAcentral